GUUCAUGGCUCAGGAUGAACGCUAGCUACAGGCUUAACACAUGCAAGUCGUGGGGAAACGACAUCGAAAGCUUGCUUUUGAUGGGCGUCGACCGGCGCACGGGUGAGUAACGCGUAUCCAACCUGCCCAUCACUUGGGAAUAACCUUGCGAAAGUAAGACUAAUGCCCAAUGAUAUCCCACGAAGGCAUCCGAAUGGGAUUAAAGAUUUAUCGGUGAUGGAUGGGGAUGCGU
Molecule: ribosomal RNA, 232 nt
Filed under: uncultured bacterium
Lineage: Bacteria
Description: partial 16S ribosomal RNA
Rfam family: Bacterial small subunit ribosomal RNA
Source: RNAcentral